Molecule: long non-coding RNA, 1191 nt
Filed under: Callithrix jacchus (white-tufted-ear marmoset)
Lineage: Eukaryota; Metazoa; Chordata; Mammalia; Primates; Cebidae
Description: lncRNA (ENSCJAG00000074446.1)
Source: RNAcentral
AUUUCUGCUCACAGCCCUCGGAGCCCGAGCGCUACAGCAGCAGCAGCAGCAGCAAGAGGAGGUGGAGGUGGAGGAGGAAGAGAGUACGAGCCUCCUCGGAGGGGGAGGAGGAAGGCCACGGGAAAAGAAAGAGCAACCUCUCCCGGCCGGGCACCGAGCACCCAGCACCCAGCAGGUCGAGGCACUGGAUCAGCCUCUCCCCUCCCCCGCCGUAACCCGACCGGCCGCUCCCCGCCCCGGGCUCCUGGGACCCGGCCAGAGCCUGGGGGAGCACCGGUUCCCCGGCACCAGUUUCAGCCUCGCGGCCACCGGCCUCUUGGACCCCAGCGUUCCCCCGCGAGCUCGCCGCUCCUCCGAGCGCCCCAACCCCCGGCUCCCGUCAGCUCGCCCCGGGCCGCCCAUCCCAGGUCAACCGCCCGGGACGAGCCCGACGCGCCGCGCCGCCCCUCGGAGCGGCUCCCCUCGGGUCCCGGAGCCUCUCCCCGGCGCCCAGGGCCGCGACCCCGCCGUCCCCUAGCUCCCGAGGGCCAGGGGCUCGGCGCCGCUGCAGCCCCCUCCUCCGCCGCCCGGGCUCGGGGCUCCGUCUCCUCCUCUCAGGCCCCGCCCAGCGCCCCGCGAUACUUACGGGCUGCUUCUGGGGCGGCUUGGACCACAGACCGCGGCGGGGCGGGGAGCAGCGCGGCAGGGCGGGGGCGCGGGAGGGUCGGGAGCGGCGGGCUCGCCGAGUGCACCUGGUCGCCGCUGCGGGGCGGAGGACAGAGAGAACGGAGGCCUCGGGCGGGCCCUGGAGCUCGCCGCCGGUGGCGCGGGGUGGCGGGCGCGGGGAUCAGACGAGCGCGCUCACUUCUCCACACAGCCCGGUGCCCGGCCCAGCGUCCCGUCGUGCGCCCGCUCCACGCCGGGCCAGAGCUUCGCUCUUUCUGCCGCGGCGCGCGCCCCGCCUCUCGUUUUAUGGCCUCCUCCCAACCCCCAUCCCUUCUGCCGGGGUGCGCGCGCCCGCCCCUCGUCACCCAGGCCCGGCGGCGCAGCCAGUCCCGGCGCUCCCAGCCCAGCAACCCCGGCCCCCGCCGCCGGCUCCGCCCCUGCCCUGCCCCCCGACGCCAUUGGCCAAGUCCCGGCUGCCCGUGUCCGGACGCGCGGUGGACGCAGGGGUGGGGAAGCCGCGCCCUCGGGCUCCGGGAGGGCCAAUGA